GAUGAAGAACGCAGCAAAAUGCGAUAAGUAAUGUGAAUUGCAGAAUUCAGUGAAUCAUCGAAUCUUUGAACGCACAUUGCGCCCGGUAGUAUUCUGCCGGGCAUGCCUGUUCGAGCGUCAUUUCAACCAUCAAGCCCCAGCGCUUGUGUUGGGGGCCUGCGGCUGCCGCAGCCCCCUAAAAGCAGUGGCGGGCUCGCUAUCACACCGAGUGCAGUAGUUCAUCUUCUCUCCGGUCUUGUGAGGCGGGUUCCGGCCGUGAAACACCCCACUACAUUUCAAGGUUGACCUCGGAUCAGGUAGGAAUACCCGCUGAACUUAAGCAUAUCAAUAAGCGGAGGA
This 339-nucleotide unclassified non-coding RNA is filed under the name soil metagenome. RNAcentral describes it as "partial contains 5.8S ribosomal RNA, internal transcribed spacer 2, and large subunit ribosomal RNA". The stretch from base 1 to 120 matches the Rfam family "5.8S ribosomal RNA", at positions 35 to 154 of the family's 154-position model. The record is from RNAcentral.